Armigeres subalbatus is the source of this 368-nucleotide long non-coding RNA. RefSeq lists it as uncharacterized. Lineage: Eukaryota; Metazoa; Arthropoda; Insecta; Diptera; Culicidae. The transcript is spliced from 3 exons. The record is from RefSeq and is a predicted model, not a curated record.
CCGUUGGUUUAAAACUUUUUAAAAGAUUUACCCGGUAUAGGAAAAUCAUUGCUAGGAAAAUUCAGCAACGUCAUGUUGCAAACAUAUGUGUAGAAUGCAGCUCCAGAACCAGAAAAGGGAAGGCAGACAAGUGCUAUGGCUACCUUUGUUGUUGGGGCGUGGAGCCACUACGUCCAUCGAUCGAGGCUUCAAUUGAUUGGAACUUUUGUUUUACUGGCUUUACCUUAGCCUUCUCCAUGGAUACUAAACAGAUGGCGAAAAGACCAGGAUUUUUUGCAGUCAUGUUCAACCUCUUAUGCAGCAUUAUAAACAGCAACAGAUUGACUAACAUAAAUGGUAUAAAUAUUCUAAUAAAAUGAUAAAAUAAA